GAUGAAGAACGCAGCGAAAUGCGAUAAGUAAUGUGAAUUGCAGAAUUCAGUGAAUCAUCGAAUCUUUGAACGCACAUUGCGCCCCCUGGUAUUCCGGGGGGCAAGCCUGUCCGAGCGUCAUUACAACCCUCAAGCUCAGCUUGGUAUUGGGCCCCGCCGACCCGGCGGGCCCUAAAGUCAGUGGCGGUGCCGUCCGGCUCCGAGCGUAGUAAUUCUUCUCGCUCUGGAGGUCCGGUCGUGUGCUCGCCAGCAACCCCCAAUUUUUUUCAGGUUGACCUCGGAUCAGGUAGGGAUACCCGCUGAACUUAAGCAUAUCAAUAAGCGGAGGA
RNAcentral lists this unclassified non-coding RNA (329 nucleotides) under soil metagenome. RNAcentral describes it as "partial contains 5.8S ribosomal RNA, internal transcribed spacer 2, and large subunit ribosomal RNA". The stretch from base 1 to 120 matches the Rfam family "5.8S ribosomal RNA", at positions 35 to 154 of the family's 154-position model. The record is from RNAcentral.